RNAcentral lists this long non-coding RNA (371 nucleotides) under Brassica napus (rape). RNAcentral describes it as "long non-coding RNA (BNAP_LNC004228)". Lineage: Eukaryota; Viridiplantae; Streptophyta; Magnoliopsida; Brassicales; Brassicaceae. The record is from RNAcentral.
ACCAGUGUGUUGGGUUUAGGGCAAGACCUAGGUUUACUUUCGGUUUUAAGGCUUAUGCGGUGACUAGUCGGCUAUUGAUUUUCCUGGUGCGAUUUCAACCUGAUUCAUUCCGAUUUAAAGUCCGCGAUAGGUUCUCGGCUUAUACGACUUGUAUGGUGUGAAUCGAGCAUCUCUCCAGAGACAAUUUUAAGCCAACUGGAAGUGCUUGACCAAAAUUUCUGAUUUUUUAUAUAGCGUGCUUUUAUCCUUGUGUCGGAUGUUUGAGGAUCAGAAUGAUCACCGUGCGUUUGUUUAAGAUGGCUGAUGUGUUCGUCGGGGCCAAUCGACGAGCAUGAUGUAAAUAUUCGUUGAAAUUUUAUUGUCACGUUUGG